This 234-nucleotide unclassified non-coding RNA is filed under the name soil metagenome. RNAcentral describes it as "partial contains small subunit ribosomal RNA, internal transcribed spacer 1, and 5.8S ribosomal RNA". The record is from RNAcentral.
UCUCCGUUGGUGAACCAGCGGAGGGAUCAUUGCUGGAACGCGCCCCAGGCGCACCCAGAAACCCUAUGUGAACCUAUACCUUACUGUUGCCUCGGCGCAUGCCGGCCCACCAGGGCCCCUCGGAGACGAGGAGCAGGCACGCCGGCGGCCAAGUUAACUCUUGUUUUUACACCGAAACUCUGAGCACAAAACACAAAUGAAUCAAAACUUUCAACAACGGAUCUCUUGGUUCUG